RNAcentral lists this ribosomal RNA (460 nucleotides) under uncultured bacterium. RNAcentral's name for it is "partial 16S ribosomal RNA". It matches the Rfam family "Bacterial small subunit ribosomal RNA", at positions 338 to 795 of the family's 1533-position model. The record is from RNAcentral.
CCUACGGGAGGCAGCAGUGAGGAAUAUUGGUCAAUGGACGAGAGUCUGAACCAGCCAAGUAGCGUGAAGGAUGACUGCCCUAUGGGUUGUAAACUUCUUUUAUAUGGGAAUAAAACGUUCCACGUGUGGGAUUUUGUAUGUACCAUAUGAAUAAGGAUCGGCUAACUCCGUGCCAGCAGCCGCGGUAAUACGGAGGAUCCGAGAGUUAUCCGGAUUUAUUGGGUUUAAAGGGAGCGUAGGUGGAUUGUUAAGUCAGUUGUGAAAGUUUGCGGCUCAACCGUAAAAUUGCAGUUGAAACUGGCAGUCUUGAGUACAGUAGAGGUGGGCGGAAUUCGUGGUGUAGCGGUGAAAUGCUUAGAUAUCACGAAGAACUCCGAUUGCGAAGGCAGUUCACUGGACUGCAACUGACACUGAGGCUCGAAAGUGUGGGUAUCAAACAGGAUUAGAUACCCGUGUAGUC